UGCCUACAUCAGUUUUCAUGUGUGCACCCCCUCUGGUGUCUAUCAGUGCAGAAGCAGCCCUACAGAGCAGAGCCAUAUAAAACCGUUCGCUGGGGAAAGGCCCCAGAGAUGGGGAUGUGGUUAGUCUGGUGCACGGCUGCCCUGUGCUUCUUGGGAGCAAGACACACAGAUGCUAAAAUCACCCAGAUACCAAGUCUGGUACUGAAGAAAGGACAGACAGCCCAGCUGAAAUGCAGCCAAACUGAUGAUCAUAACUCUAUGUACUGGUAUCAGCAGCAGCAGGGGAAGGGGCUGCAGCUGAUCUAUUACUCUCUUGGUAAAGAUAACCAGGAAGAUGGUGACAGUGACAUUAAAAAUGAUUUCACAGCCUCCCGGCCACAGAUUGAAAUCUUUGACUUGAACAUCACCUCUGUGAAGAUGGAGCACUCGGCUGUGUAUUUCUGUGCCAGCAGUUUAGACACAGCGCUUCAGAGUCACCCCCUCCUUCUACAAAAACCUCCCCCCUCCAAGAGACCUUCUCCUCCCAUCUCCACAUAACAGGGAGAUCAGGCUGCUCUCAUGCAGAGAGGAACAGCCUAUUAUGCAUAGAAAUACCAGCAAAGUGCUGCUGGGGGAGAAGGGAAUCAAAGGCAGAGCAGCUCCCUUAAGUAUGGGUUAUUUCGCAAACCAUAUCCCCCCCUUGGUGUUCACCUGGCUAGUCCCUUCUUCAAGAUGUCACAGUUGCGAUCAUGCAGUUCCCAUCAUGCAGGCAUGAAUCAGGGCAAAUAGAAAUCAUAACUUUGUAUUCCAAAAACCCAAUACUCUCCCUAGGGCCGUUCUCAUAGCCAACAGAGCAGAGGUACCCAAACUUUUCUUAUUGUGUACUCCCUUACACACAGAGGUGGAUUAACAUUUUGUGGGGCCCUGGGCCACAGCAAGUGGGGGCCCCUCCCCACCCCUUCCACCUACAGUCCCUCCUCCAUUCCCCCCCGGUGCUCCUGCUGGGAAGCGGGGUCGGGGUGCGGGGACUUGCCUUGCUCUGCCCACCCGGCACUCCUGUAGGGAGCAGGGGAAUCCCCAGUGCCCUGACCCUGUGUUCUUCUUAACACUACUUGUCUUUAGCCAUCUGUCGCUAUUUCACUGUUAUGUACAGAGAUACUUAUAGUGCAAUGUACACAGUUGAAAAAAACCCAACAACCCUGACUAAGUUCUGUGCUCAGUUAGACUAGACAAUUGCUAGGCAACUGAACCUGUGCUGUACAGUGAUUGGAGGUGAGGGCACUAUACAUCAGUGUUCCUGUGUAUCUGAAUUAUCGCUGGUGCAUCUUGAAGUAAAUUAAUUACCGUAUUUUAUGUAACAAAUUCCUACAGAGUUUUAAAGCUUCGUCUGAGUAGCCUAUUAUGAAAAUGCAAUAAAUAAAAGAA
Chelonia mydas (Green sea turtle) is the source of this 1404-nucleotide non-coding RNA. Lineage: Eukaryota; Metazoa; Chordata; Testudines; Cheloniidae. The record is from the annotation of a RefSeq genome assembly.